This 714-nucleotide unclassified non-coding RNA is filed under the name Paraphyton cookei. Its description in RNAcentral is "sequence contains 18S rRNA gene, ITS1, 5.8S rRNA gene, ITS2, 28S rRNA gene". The stretch from base 318 to 471 matches the Rfam family "5.8S ribosomal RNA". Lineage: Eukaryota; Fungi; Ascomycota; Eurotiomycetes; Onygenales; Arthrodermataceae. The record is from RNAcentral.
UGGAAGUAAAAGUCGUAACAAGGUUUCCGUAGGUGAACCUGCGGAAGGAUCAUUAACGCGUAGGCCGCUGCCUGGCUAUCCAUGCCUCCCUCCGGGUCUCCCGGGGGUCGAAGCGGGGUACGCCGCCGGCCACAAAAUCGCCCAUUCUUGUCUACCUACCCGGUUGCCUCGGCGGUGCCGCGCGCCCCUCUCCCAGCUGAGGGGGAGCGCCGGCCAGGCGGGAGAUCCGUCUCCCUCCCGGUCCGCGCCCGCCGGAGGACCAUUUGAAAAACCCUUUUAAAUCGUCUCCGUCUGAGCAUAACAAGCAAAUCAGUUAAAACUUUCAACAACGGAUCUCUUGGUUCCGGCAUCGAUGAAGAACGCAGCGAAAUGCGAUAAGUAAUGUGAAUUGCAGAAUUCCGUGAAUCAUCGAAUCUUUGAACGCACAUUGCGCCCCCUGGUAUUCCGGGGGGCAUGCCUGUUCGAGCGUCAUUUCAACCCCUCAAGCCCGGCUUGUGUGAUGGACGACCGUCCCCUCCCCGUCAGACGGAGGGGGACGCGCCCGAAAAGCAGUGGCCAGGCCGCGCUUCCGGCACCUAGGCGAAUGGGACACACCAACCGUCUAAGGGACCGGCCGGUACUGCUGGCCUUGACUGGACUCUUUUGUCCGUUAAAUUUUUUCAGGUUGACCUCGGAUCAGGUAGGGAUACCCGCUGAACUUAAGCAUAUCAAUAA